UUAUAUUUAACUCUAUGGUUGAUUUUGCUGUACUUCAUGCGUGCACUAUUUUUUAGGAGAGCUAUUCAAUUCUAGGGAGUAUUUGAUGAUUCCGGGGGGAUGAAAAUUGAAGUAGAGUGGUUAAAGAUGCUCCUGUAUAGAUGUGCAGAUUCUCAGCAGACCAAGAAUUCCAGUACCUUUCCCUGAUCUCUCU
Cajanus cajan (pigeon pea) is the source of this 193-nucleotide non-coding RNA. The record is from RefSeq and is a predicted model, not a curated record. NCBI's taxonomy places the organism in Eukaryota, Viridiplantae, Streptophyta, Magnoliopsida, Fabales, Fabaceae.